This 484-nucleotide ribosomal RNA is filed under the name uncultured bacterium. Its description in RNAcentral is "bacterial SSU rRNA". It matches the Rfam family "Bacterial small subunit ribosomal RNA", at positions 29 to 557 of the family's 1533-position model. The record is from RNAcentral.
ACGAACGCUGGCGGGCAGGCUUAACACAUGCAAGUCGAGCGAUCCCUUCGGGGAUAGCGGCGGACGGGUGAGUAACGCGUGGGAACGUGCCCUUUUCUUCGGAAUAGCCCAGGGAAACUUGGAUUAAUACCGAAUACGCCCUUAGGGGGAAAGAUUUAUCGGAACAGGAUCGGCCCGCGUUGGAUUAGGUAGUUGGUGGGGUAAUGGCCUACCAAGCCGACGAUCCAUAGCUGGUUUGAGAGGAUGAUCAGCCACACUGGGACUGAGACACGGCCCAGACUCCUACGGGACGCAGCAGUGGGGAAUCUUGGACAAUGGGGGAAACCCUGAUCCAGCCAUGCCGCGUGAACGAUGAAGGCCUUAGGGUUGUAAAGUUCUUUCAGCGAGGAAGAUAAUGACUGUACUCGCAGAAGACGCCCCGGCUAACUCCGUGCCAGCAGCCCGCGGUAGUACGGAGGGGGCUAGCGUUGUUCGGAACUACUGG